UACGUAGGCGGAAAAUUAAGUCAGUAGUGAAAUCCUGCAGCUUAACUGUAGAACUGUUAUUGAUACUGGUUUUCUUGAAUAUAGUUGAGGUAGGCGGAAUGUCUAAUGUAGCGGUGAAAUGCUUAGAUAUUACACAGAACACCGAUUGCGAAGGCAGCUUACUAAGCUAUGAUUGACGCUGAGGUACGAAAGCGUGGGGAGCGAACAGGAUUAGAUACCCUGGUAGUCC
RNAcentral lists this ribosomal RNA (229 nucleotides) under uncultured bacterium. RNAcentral's name for it is "partial 16S ribosomal RNA". It matches the Rfam family "Bacterial small subunit ribosomal RNA", at positions 568 to 796 of the family's 1533-position model. The record is from RNAcentral.